This 433-nucleotide ribosomal RNA is filed under the name uncultured bacterium. Its description in RNAcentral is "partial 16S ribosomal RNA". It matches the Rfam family "Bacterial small subunit ribosomal RNA", at positions 29 to 507 of the family's 1533-position model. The record is from RNAcentral.
AACGAACGCUGGCGGCAUGCCUAACACAUGCAAGUCGAACGAGACCUUCGGGUCUAGUGGCGCACGGGUGCGUAACGCGUGGGAACCUGCCCUUAGGUUCGGAAUAACUCCCCGAAAGGGGUGCUAAUACCGGAGAAUGUCUUCGGACCAAAGAUUUAUCGCCUUUGGAUGGGCCCGCGUUGGAUUAGCUAGUUGGUAGGGUAAAAGCCUACCACGACGACGAUCCAUAGCUGGUCUGAGAGGAUGAGCAGCCACACUGGGACUGAGACACGGCCCAGACUCCUACGGGAGGCAGCAGUGGGGAAUAUUGGACAAUGGGCGAAAGCCUGAUCCAGCAAUGCCGCGUGAGUGAUGAAGGCCUUAGGGUUGUAAAGCUCUUUUACCCGGGAUGAUAAUGACAGUACCGGGAGAAUAAGCUCCGGCUAACUCCGUG